This 253-nucleotide ribosomal RNA is filed under the name uncultured bacterium. RNAcentral's name for it is "partial 16S ribosomal RNA". It matches the Rfam family "Bacterial small subunit ribosomal RNA", at positions 524 to 776 of the family's 1533-position model. The record is from RNAcentral.
UACGUAGGGUGCGAGCGUUGUCCGGAAUUAUUGGGCGUAAAGGGCUCGUAGGCGGUCUGUCACGUCGGGAGUGAAAACUCAGGGCUUAACCCUGAGCCUGCUUCCGAUACGGGCAGACUAGAGGUAUGCAGGGGAGAACGGAAUUCCUGGUGUAGCGGUGAAAUGCGCAGAUAUCAGGAGGAACACCGGUGGCGAAGGCGGUUCUCUGGGAAUAUCCUGACGCUGAGGAGCGAAAGUGUGGGGAGCGAACAGG